AACGAACGCUGGCGGCAGGCCUAACACAUGCAAGUCGAGCGAGGACUUCGGUCCUAGCGGCGGACGGGUGAGUAACGCGUGGGAACGUGCCCUUUGCUUCGGAAUAGCCCUGGGAAACUGGGAGUAAUACCGGAUGAGCCCUUUGGGGGAAAGAUUUAUCGGCGAAGGAUCGGCCCGCGUUGGAUUAGGUAGUUGGUGGGGUAAUGGCCUACCAAGCCGACGAUCCAUAGCUGGUUUGAGAGGAUGAUCAGCCACACUGGGACUGAGACACGGCCCAGACUCCGACGGGAGGCAGCAGUGGGGAAUCUUAGACAAUGGGGGAAACCCUGAUCUAGCCAUGCGGCGUGAGCGAUGAAGGCCUUAGGGUUGUAAAGCUCUUUCAGCUGGGAAGAUAAUGACGGUACCAGCAGAAGAAGCCCCGGCUAACUCCGUG
This 433-nucleotide ribosomal RNA is filed under the name uncultured bacterium. RNAcentral describes it as "partial 16S ribosomal RNA". It matches the Rfam family "Bacterial small subunit ribosomal RNA", at positions 29 to 507 of the family's 1533-position model. The record is from RNAcentral.